Molecule: ribosomal RNA, 460 nt
Filed under: uncultured bacterium
Lineage: Bacteria
Description: partial 16S ribosomal RNA
Rfam family: Bacterial small subunit ribosomal RNA
Source: RNAcentral
ACUACGGGAGGCAGCAGUGAGGAAUAUUGGUCAAUGGGCGGAAGCCUGAACCAGCCAAGUAGCGUGCAGGAUGACGGCCCUACGGGUUGUAAACUGCUUUUAUACGGGAAUAACGCGCCUUACGUGUAGGGCUUUGCAUGUACCGUAUGAAUAAGGACCGGCUAAUUCCGUGCCAGCAGCCGCGGUAAUACGGAAGGUCCGGGCGUUAUCCGGAUUUAUUGGGUUUAAAGGGAGCGUAGGCCGCAUGUCAAGCGUGCUGUGAAAUGUCCGGGCGCAACCCGGGCCUUGCAGCGCGAACUGGCGUGCUUGAGUCCGCGGAAAGCAGGCGGAAUUCGUCGUGUAGCGGUGAAAUGCUUAGAUAUGACGAAGAACCCCGAUUGCGAAGGCAGCUUGCUGCAGCGGAACUGACGCUGAUGCUCGAAAGCGCGGGUAUCGAACAGGAUUAGAUACCCCUGUAGUC